Molecule: ribosomal RNA, 486 nt
Filed under: uncultured bacterium
Lineage: Bacteria
Description: partial 16S ribosomal RNA
Rfam family: Bacterial small subunit ribosomal RNA
Source: RNAcentral
AUUGAACGCUGGCGGCAUGCCUUACACAUGCAAGUCGAACGGCAGCACGGGUGCUUGCACCUGGUGGCGAGUGGCGAACGGGUGAGUAAUACAUCGGAACAUGUCCUGUAGUGGGGGAUAGCCCGGCGAAAGCCGGAUUAAUACCGCAUACGAUCUACGGAUGAAAGCGGGGGACCUUCGGGCCUCGCGCUAUAGGGUUGGCCGAUGGCUGAUUAGCUAGUUGGUGGGGUAAAGGCCUACCAAGGCGACGAUCAGUAGCUGGUCUGAGAGGACGACCAGCAAAGCGGGGACUGAGACAAGGCGCAGACUCCUAGGGGAGGAAGCAGUGGGGAAUUUUGGACGAGGGGCGAAAGACUGAUCCAGCAAUGCCGCGAGUGUGAAGAAGGCCGGCGGGGUGUAGAGGACGUUGGUCCGGAAAGAAAUCCUUGGCCCUAAUACGGUCGGGGGAUGACGGUACCGGAAGAAUAAGCACCGGCUAACUACGUG